AACCCACCCCCGUCUUCUCCCUCCCUCCCACCCCCGAAUUCCCGGCCAAAUCCCCGCCACCUUCCUCUCCACGCACAGCCGCCACAAGCUGCCCCGCCACCUUCCCCUCUGCGGCCGGCCGCCGUGAGCCAGCGCCGCUCCGCCACCAUCUUCUCCGCGCGCGGCAACCGCAAGCCCGCGCCGCCGCUCCACCUCUCACCCCGCGCCGCUGCGCCACCUCUCACCCCGCCGGCCACCAUCUACCUCCGCCGCCGUGCACUCAAUCUGGACCACUAGUCCUGCCACGGUGCCCGGCCACGACCUGAGCGAAAGCCCUGCCCCGGCGCGGCGAACCCACCCUGGCCGCGGCCCCACCCUCCCCCUUCUCCGGAUCUCGCCUAGGUGGUUUUGGCCGCCGCCUUCCACCGUGCCCCCAUGGUGAACCGCCUUCCUUCCCAGCGUCGGAGCUCCCCACGGCCCCGUUCGAUCCCGGUAGUUCGUUCUCAAGCCAUGCGCCGGAUCCGUCGAUCCCGGCGGUUUCGUCCUCGAGCCACAAGUCGGAUCAGACCGGCGAGAAGGAGCUAGCCACUAGAUCCACUGAUCUCCAGGGGCGUCCACGCGCCUGCGUGCAGUUUAGUUCCCCCGGUGAUGUAGUCUGUCGUCACGUCGUGCUGCAGCUCCACAUCGCUGCUUGUGCAGUGCACAAUCGUUGCUGCUGCAUCUCGGCAGCUCGCCCCCGUGCAUGGUCGCCGCCGCCGUGCAGUUCGGCCAGAGCUGCAGCUCUCUCUCCUCACCUCAUGCAGUUCGCGGUGAACGACAAAGAUGAUGGCAGCGAGACGCGAAUGUCUGAAGCUUUCUAUGUGCAGAGCGACGAGUGAAGGGGCACGCCAAGUAGGAAUCAGGGGAGGGGGUCUCUGGAACGUGGCCGUUGCUCCUCAUUUCUAAUGCCACCGAUCGUUGAUGGAUGUUCUGUACCUCCCUCUCUUUCAGGCUACUGCCAUCACCACUCUCAAAUGAAAAAAGUUAUGGUCCGCUGUUAGCUGAUACUUUUUUUGUUUUGUUCUUUUGUUUAGAAAAAAUCAAGUGGACUUCAGUUAGCUAUUGCAGGAGAAGACAAAAAAAAAUGCAAGAUUUAGUUUGUAAUUAUUGAAGAAAUCUGAUGUAGUUCGUUUGUGUGAUGACUUGUGAUUCGCUAUGUAAAAAGAAAAUGGAAAACCCAAGAUGAAGCCCUUCUUUUGUAAA
Aegilops tauschii subsp. strangulata is the source of this 1221-nucleotide long non-coding RNA. RefSeq lists it as uncharacterized. NCBI's taxonomy places the organism in Eukaryota, Viridiplantae, Streptophyta, Magnoliopsida, Poales, Poaceae. The record is from RefSeq and is a predicted model, not a curated record.